This 382-nucleotide ribosomal RNA is filed under the name uncultured fungus. RNAcentral's name for it is "SSU rRNA". It matches the Rfam family "Eukaryotic small subunit ribosomal RNA", at positions 827 to 1208 of the family's 1831-position model. Lineage: Eukaryota; Fungi. The record is from RNAcentral.
CGUGCGGUUCUAUUUUGUUGGUUUUUGGAAUCGCCGUAAUGAUUAAUAGGGACAGUCGGGGGCAUUAGUACUCACAUGCUAGAGGUGAAAUUCUUGGAUUUUGUGAAGACUAACUUCUGCGAAAGCAUUUGCCAAGGAUGUUUUCAUUAAUCAAGAACGAAGGUUAGGGGAUCGAAGACGAUCAGAUACCGUCGUAGUCUUAACCGUAAACUAUGCCGACUAGGGAUCGGGUGGUGUUUUUAUUAUGACUCACUCGGCACCUUACGAGAAAUCAAAGUUUUUGGGUUCUGGGGGGAGUAUGGUCGCAAGGCUGAAACUUAAAGAAAUUGACGGAGGGGCACCACCAGGCGUGGAGCCUGCGGCUUAAUUUGACUCAGCACGG